Chlorocebus sabaeus (green monkey) is the source of this 7247-nucleotide long non-coding RNA. RefSeq lists it as uncharacterized. The record is from RefSeq and is a predicted model, not a curated record. Lineage: Eukaryota; Metazoa; Chordata; Mammalia; Primates; Cercopithecidae.
GUGACUAAGAAAGUUUUCCUUCUUUUUUUUUAACAAGUAAACUUAAACAUGUUUAUCUGGUGGAUUGUGUGUUUGUGACUGUGUGUAGAACGUAUGUGGCUUGAACACAUGUAUUUCCUUUCUCCUAAUCUAUUUGAAGUAUGCAACAUCAUCCUAAAGAGAGUUUCUAUGAAGGCAAAAUUAAUCUGAAUUUUAACUUUUCUCUCCAUGACUUUGAUCCCUAUAGCACAACUGACUUCAACAGUAGUUUCAAGAUAAACUUAUAGUGUUAAACCCUUCUUGACGGUGACCCUGUCAAAUCUCUUGCAGUUUCUCAGAGCUCCUGUGCUUUCUCCUGAUCUUCACACUUUGCAUAUAAUAUUUCCUGUGUCUGGAUUACCCUUUUCAUAUGGUUAACUCUUACUUAUCUUUUAAUACUCUGCUUUUGACAUUAUAUUAAUAAAUUCCCCAACUACUUUAAAUGGAUCUUCUGUGGGAGGUAAUAGCAGGCUUCUUCCAAAGCACUGAGUUACAUUUUCCUAUGAUUUAAGGGAGGGACCAUACCUUUUAUUUUAUUUUAUUUUUUUUUAGUCCUCGACACUUAGGAAGGGCUCGGAUGGAUACUAGUAAUUUAAUUAAUUACUUGAUUAUCCAAUUAAUAUAGUAAAUAUUUAUGCACUAUUUAUAUCUAUGGUUUAAAUAUUUGCAAUUGAAGUUUAUAUACACAUAUAAAUAGCCCCUGUCACUCAACUGCUGCUGCAAAUCAAAGAGCAUGGGAUUUUCUCAUGCGUGGAAUUCAUAAGUUUAUUUUAGUCAAAGAAAUUUGAAGUAAGCCAUUUUCUUAUUAUAAUUUUUCCAUAAGUGCAAGAUUUAUAUAUUUUUUGUAGCUGCAGAAUGAUAAGAUAGUACUUAAUGAUUCAUAUUAUUGCUAUCUUAUGGUAUAAGAUUUAGGGGAUUAUCUGUGAAACUUUAUAUACAUUAAUUCACUGGCAUCACAUACUGAGUACUAACUUGGCUUAUUUCCCUAUCAUUUCUUCCCACCUCACAGUAGGCCCAGUCAGGUGGUUGCUGCAUUAACUUCUCCACAAAACUGCCUUUCAGAUAAAUCUCUCUUAAUACUGUCCUUACAUAUAAUUCUUUAUUUUCUAUGUAUUCAUUUGUAGUAAUUUUGUUUAUCACAUUUUCUUGCAUCUGGCAUUUAUUAAAAUUAUUUUGAGAAUAUAUUAAAUGUCAAGUAUGGUUCCAGGCACUUGGAAUAUGACAGUGAACCGCCACACUUCCCUUGCCCUCAAGAAUCUUAGCAUUUCAGGAGAAAGACCAAAUGAAGACCAGGGAAGCUUUUGUCCUUACCCUGUUUACCCCCUUCCAACCGUUUGCAAACCAAAAAUUUUGAUUUGCAUCUAAGAAAAUGAACAUUUCUGGCUUGUUCUCAAAUCUGCAGCUACAGGGGUCUUCUCCGUUUCAUCCAGAGUAUCUGCUUGGCCGCCACCAUGUCUGACAUCUAUUUUACUUCUUUUCAGUUGAGCUCUUUAUUUCAUUGAAGAAUGACAUUGAACCAUACAUUGUACCUUUCCUCUGGUAGUCUAUUCAGAAAAGUUAUAUUGUUGCUGGCAAAGGAAAUCAGCGUUAAACAAUUCACACCAUUUAAAAAAAUAUUUUAAGUUGACAGAAGGGAAGAAAAGUAGCUCUAAACUAAUGAAAAUCUAAAUUGUUCUGUAAUAAACGAAUUGAUGAUAGUUGAUCCUAUUUGGGAUAACAAGAUUAUAUAAUUUUAACUUAAGGGAAGUUAAUGAAUUAAUUAAUUAAUUGACUUGACCACUAACUUCUGGUUCUUUCACAAUUCAGGAAAAUGUCUCUCAUUAUAUAACUUGGCUUCUUUUGUUUAUGGGAAAUUUUUGUGUCCAAAAUUCCAUUCUAUGACUUAGGGAAUGUUUGAGAUCCCCUCUGGUAGUUCAAAUUGUGUUUCAAUGGCACAUCAAGAUAGUAAAACAUCUCGUCUUGUAAAUCAUUGCAAAAUUUGUGGCUAAUGGUCACAGAAGGGGCAAGAUAUAUUUGAAGUAUUGCAAAUCAGAUUCUCACAGUGUUCAAAAUGAAUCCUAAGAUUAUAAAGCCAUAGCACUACAUCAAACCUGAAUAACGAAAUAAAAUAUUUAUUGAAGAAUAGGAAAACCUACUCACUUUAACCGACAAGAUGUCUUUGUGUCAUUUUUUCUCCUUCAUCUUUUUCUUCUUUAUUCCAUCAUUCCUACCUGCUUAUUCUGGCUUGGUUUAAGAACGCAUAGAAGAGAAUAAUAAAGAAAAUAUGGUUUACUUCAUCUUUUCCAGUGUUGCUAUUGCAAACCAGAGCCAGAAAUGAUACUCCUCCUUGCUCAAUUUUCAAAAACAAAUCAUAACAUUAUAGAAAUUAUUAUCUAAAUGCUUAUUAUAUUACACAAUCUUAUAAGGAACUUAUUUAAUCCUUACAAGAGUCCCAUGAAUGAUCACAUUUUACAAAUGAGAAAAUUGAGGACUAGAUCACAUUAUAAUUUUUUCCAAGAUCAAAGCUAUAAUUGUAUUGUAACUAUGAAUUUACUAGUUGCAGGCUUUUACACUUCUGGUUUCAUAAAGGGGAUUAUACUCAAUAAACACAGCUACUUAAUACCCAACUACAAAAAUUCAGAGGUUAGAGGUUUUUGUGUUCCUGCAAAGUACGAGAUACUAUGUGCUGUGAUCAUCUCAAACAGAGCAAUAUUCCAAAGAACACUCAGUUUCAGAGCAGAGAGACGCGCAUUGAUUUUACGGCAAGGCAGAACAAACUAUGGGGAAAUAUAGAAGUCAUAGUCAUUUAUGAGAAAGGCACUUAGGAAGGUUUAUGGGCUCAAGUAAGGCUUCCUGGGGACAGUGACAUCAGAGCUAGGGUUUGAGGGAUGGGUAGGUAGUGAUGAGAAGAACAUGGAUUGGAUCAAAGAAGUGAAAGGUGACAUCCAGUCGUACUACAAUGCUAUUGUCACUUUUAAUCUUAUAAUGAGUACAAGGUCAAGGCAAUCACAAGAAAACAGAUAGAAACUGCCAUGUUUAGUUUUGCUUUGGAUUGACUGGAGAAGGGAAGAUUAAUUAAAUGGGGCACAUGCUUUUCUCUUUUUCUUCUUUUUUUUCUUUUUUCCCUGAUCCAACCCUUUGACUCUUAAAAUAUUGAAUAAUAUCCAACGAUGAAAUAUCCAAUGAUUAUUGUAGAGGUGAACACUCUUCCCUUGAGGAAAUAGCUUCCCUGUUGAUAGCUUUAUUCAAAAUCACAUAAUUUCACUCUGUGAAGGAAUAUAAUGCAGAGUUUAUAGGUCAGACUUAAAAAACCAGAAUGCUUGGAUUGAAAUCCUGACUUUAACUAUUGUCUUUUAGCAAGAAUCUUUACCUCUUUUUGCCUCUGUGUUCUCAUUUAUAAAAUGGGCAUACUACUAAUGCCUAAGAUGUAGAAUUUUGUAUUUAUGGAAUAAGAGAAACAUAAAAAGUACAAUGUCUAGUACAUUGUCAGCACUCAGUAAAUAUUAGCUUAUUGCUAUUCAAUUGCAAAACUACCUGGGACUCAACUCAAAUAUUCAAGCAAAUAGAAUCUUCAUCUAAACGGGUACAUGAAAGGUCUUGGAAACACAGAGGCAAUAGCUUGAUUUUGGAUAUGGCUUAUUUGGAGAUUAAUGUAAAUCCAAAGAAAAAUGUUCAAGAGAGUAUAGGCAACUCACACUCUAUCUGGGAUGUUAAGAGUUAGCAUUCCAACAGUGGAUAUGGCAGGAUGGUAGAGUUGUUCAGGCUAUGGCAGAAACCAUGGUCAGAACAAUGUUUGUGUAAUAACCAAGGGUGGUUGGCAGGGAUGGGCAUAAAUUUAGUGGGACCCUAACAGGAAUAAUAAGAAUAUAGGGAAGCCUCUUCUAGAAUAUUAAAUAGAUCAAGUCUCAGUAGGAACCAGAGCCAAAUUAGAUACAAAAGCAUCAUGUUGUACUAUUGACUGUGAAGUCACUAAAGGAUAUAGAAGUUUUCAUCCUAAUCAACACAAGGGUAUACAUUAUACCAUGAGGCCUGUGAGAACUCACAACUUAAUAAGAUAAAUGAAAAAUGAGUGUCUUGGAUUGGCUUGCUCACUCCAGGUAUACCAGUUGCCUUGGGUAAGAAAUAUACCUUCUAAUUCUCUGUUAUCUCAAAUAUAACACAAGCUUGGUAAUACAUAUUUUACAAGGUUGCUGUAAGGAUGAGAAAAGAUAAUGUAUUAAAAAUUAUGCAAAUUUUGAAAUGUAGUAACAGAAAUUUUGUUGUAGUUAUUGUAUUAUUUUUAUUCCUUUGUAUCUCUUCAGUGUUCGUUCUUAUUCUACAUGUCUCUUCAGAGGAGAAUCUUGUGAAGAUUUUCUAUGUUCUAAAGUGUUUUUUUCUUAAUAUAUCUGGGAACCCUCUUGUUUUUAACCUUACUUUACAUACAUUUUAUUGACUCCAGCAGAAUGUUUUUAACCCUCCAAAAAUCUUCUCUUACUUGGGAACUGUCAUCUCUACUGUAGAUAUCAUGCAGCUAUUUGAGAAGUAUUUAAAAACUUCAGUCUGAGUUAGAAGCACUGUUAGGUCAGUGUGCUUGUGUUGGGGAAAAAAAUUAAAAGCUGGGCACUGACUACUUAUUUUUCAUUUGGAAUUGCAAUGUCAGAAUCACUGUGGUAAGAGUUUGUUUUGCCUUAACUGAAUGAAGUCAUCUAUUCAUAUUCACCCAUUUAUAUUUACUAAGGUAAUUUUCACUUAUUUCAACUCAGAAGACCUUCCCUUCUUUUAAGCUCAACAAAAGAUUUUAAUUUACUUUGGAUCCUGCUGUCAUUAGAAAAUUUAUCUUUGAAUAAUAAGCAAUAUGCUAAUCAUGGAAGACUGUUCUUACAGGAUGAUCAUUUCAUGACCUCCAAGUUGAAAACUCACUUAAGCUAAAAGCAUUGAUGGUACAUUUUUAUUUAGUUGUUUUCCUCUGUAUAAAUACUUCACAACUAACAUCCUCUGGUGGAUGGCUUUAUUAAUAUACAACAUUGGUUCAGACACUUGAUUAAAUUCUACUGGCCUGAGGAUAAAAAUAAACCAUUGCCUUUCCACGAACCACAUUUACCUAUUUAUUCAGCGGCAACGGCACUCACACUUUUCUAAACAGCCUAUGGAGUAUUAUUUGUAAGCUAAACAUCAUGUUUAUAAAAUGUAGCCUUUACUUUUGAUUAUUGUCUGAAUUCUUGUUGGGAAAAAUUGAACAUUCUCAUUUGAUCUAUGCAUAUAAAGUCAUGACCAAUAUAAAUGUGAAGGAAGAAAUGUGCAUGGUUGACAUGUUACCACCCUCAAAAUAACAAAGAAUUAUAUUGAAACAGCAGGCUUUGACCUUUUCCCCCAAUUACAUACACAUUUUAUUUUUGGAUACAUAUCCCCAACUUGCUUUCCCAAAAGGCAGCUUUAAUUCACAUUCUCACCAGCAGAUUUUAUUAUGCUGGUUUCCGCAGAUUUUCAGCAGUGGGUGUUUUCAGUCUUUAAAACCUUUUCAAAUCUGAGUUAUGAACGAUAAAUCUCAAUGUUGCAUUUAUUUGUUUUUAAAGCAAAUAUUAUGAAUGAGACUAUGUAUUUACCACCAUGUUUAUUCAUUAAUAAGUUUUCUUACACUGUGAUUUCCUUACUUACAACUUUUGCCCAUUUUUCUUUAGGGGUGUUAGUCUCUUACCUAUCUUUUAUAUUAGGCCAUUUCUACACUUUAAUAGGUAAUUGUGUUUCAUAACUUAUUACAUGCUCAGCAGGAUUUCACUUUUAAAGCAAAAGGUCUGGUUAGGUAUGUGAUAGGUUCUUCAGAGUUACGAGUUCUUUACAAAGGAACAGGCUCAAAAUUCUGGCUUGAGACAUUUGAAAUAUUUUUUCCCAUAUGAAACAUAGUAAUAUAUGGUUAUAGGUCUCUCAUUGAUCAGGAAUUUUAAGUACUGUGACAGGAUUUUUUUUUUUUUGUAGUUUUUGUUUUUCUAAGUGCAGGUAUACACAAGUGGAUAAUUUAUAAUUUUUAGUUAAUGAAACUCAUCAUUGGUUCACACAUAGUCUAUUUUUAUUUAGAGAUUUAUUUACUUAUUGUUAAAAAUGCACUGAACAAUCAUGAAGUCACUCCUAUAAAUGAAAACUAGAACUUGACAAUUAUCUCUAAUUUUCUCCCUCCAUUCCAUUCACCUGCCUCUGACUACGCAAGGCAACCAGCACUUUAAAUACACUACUUCUCGUUUUUAUAUAGUCAUAUACCAAUAUGCAUCCUUAAAUGUAUAUUCUUUGGUUGUAGUUAUGUUUUAAAAAAAACUUUAGACAAAUUAAACAUAACAGAAUCGAUUAGAGCAAAGAACAAGCCAUGAAUUGAACAGUACUGAGAUCCAGAAGCAAUUUGGAGAGCUCUGCUCAGCAGUAUGAGGAGUGUGCUUUACUAGGCCAAAUACAGAAGCAAAUUAGAGAAACCACCUGAUUAGCUACAGGUGGGCAUCUGACCUUUUGAGCAUGGUGUAAUGAGCUGAUUGCUUGUGAUUGGAUGAAACACAGCUGCUUGUGAUAGGCUGAAACUUGGCUGUUUGUUAUCCUUCUAAAUUAGGUUUCAGUUUCUUACAUACUAAGUAAAUUAGUGAUAUGUUUUAGCUGUGUUUCCACUCAAAUCUCAUCUCAAAUUGUAAUCUCCAUAAUUCCCACCUGUGGAGGGAGGGCCCUUGCAGGAGGUGAUUGGAUCCUGGGGGGUGAUUUCCCAGAUGCUGUUCACCUGCUACUGAGUGAGUUCUCAGGAGAUCUGAUGGUUUUAUAAAUAGCAGUUUCCCUUAGGCUUAUCUCUUUCCUGCCACAUUGUGAAGAAGACGCUUGCUUCUUCUGCGCUUUCUGCCAUGUUUGUAAGUUUCCUGAGGCCUCCCUAGCCCUGCGGAACGGUCUUCCCAACCCCUGGGCCGUGGACUGGUACCAGUCCCCAGACUGUUGGGAACCAGGCCAUACAGAAGGUGAGCUGCAGGUAGUCACCACUUUCAACCAAUAGAUGGAGAGACUUUUACAGUGUGAUUUGAAGUGCACUGAGAGUGCCACCUCUCAAAAAUUCUAAACCAUGUGAUUCUUGUAUGUCAUUAAGGAAUGCUCCUAUAUUCAAAGGGUCUCACUCUGUUGCGAAGGCUGGUGUGCAAUGGCAUGAUCAGGGCUCAUCACAGUCUUGACCUUCUGGUCUCAAGCAAUCCUCCCAACACAGCCUCCUGUGAAAAUGAACAUUUCUGUUGUUGUUGUUUUGAUGUCUCAUCUGA